RNAcentral lists this ribosomal RNA (253 nucleotides) under uncultured bacterium. RNAcentral's name for it is "partial 16S ribosomal RNA". It matches the Rfam family "Bacterial small subunit ribosomal RNA", at positions 524 to 776 of the family's 1533-position model. The record is from RNAcentral.
UACGGAGGGUGCAAGCGUUAUCCGGAUUCACUGGGUUUAAAGGGUGCGUAGGCGGGCAGGUAAGUCAGUGGUGAAAUCUCCGAGCUUAACUUGGAAACUGCCGUUGAUACUAUCUGUCUUGAAUAUUGUGGAGGUGAGCGGAAUAUGUCAUGUAGCGGUGAAAUGCUUAGAUAUGACAUAGAACACCAAUGGCGAAGGCAGCUCGCUACACAUAUAUUGACUCUGAGGCACGAAAGCGUGGGGAUCAAACAGG